Molecule: ribosomal RNA, 2431 nt
Filed under: Staphylococcus aureus
Lineage: Bacteria; Bacillati; Bacillota; Bacilli; Caryophanales; Staphylococcaceae
Description: partial 23S ribosomal RNA
Rfam family: Bacterial large subunit ribosomal RNA
Source: RNAcentral
UGGAAAGAUGAAUCAAAGAAGGUAAUAAUCCUGUAGUCGAAAAUGUUGUCUCUCUUGAGUGGAUCCUGAGUACGACGGAGCACGUGAAAUUCCGUCGGAAUCUGGGAGGACCAUCUCCUAAGGCUAAAUACUCUCUAGUGACCGAUAGUGAACCAGUACCGUGAGGGAAAGGUGAAAAGCACCCCGGAAGGGGAGUGAAAUAGAACCUGAAACCGUGUGCUUACAAGUAGUCAGAGCCCGUUAAUGGGUGAUGGCGUGCCUUUUGUAGAAUGAACCGGCGAGUUACGAUUUGAUGCAAGGUUAAGCAGUAAAUGUGGAGCCGUAGCGAAAGCGAGUCUGAAUAGGGCGUUUAGUAUUUGGUCGUAGACCCGAAACCAGGUGAUCUACCCUUGGUCAGGUUGAAGUUCAGGUAACACUGAAUGGAGGACCGAACCGACUUACGUUGAAAAGUGAGCGGAUGAACUGAGGGUAGCGGAGAAAUUCCAAUCGAACCUGGAGAUAGCUGGUUCUCUCCGAAAUAGCUUUAGGGCUAGCCUCAAGUGAUGAUUAUUGGAGGUAGAGCACUGUUUGGACGAGGGGCCCCUCUCGGGUUACCGAAUUCAGACAAACUCCGAAUGCCAAUUAAUUUAACUUGGGAGUCAGAACAUGGGUGAUAAGGUCCGUGUUCGAAAGGGAAACAGCCCAGACCACCAGCUAAGGUCCCAAAAUAUAUGUUAAGUGGAAAAGGAUGUGGCGUUGCCCAGACAACUAGGAUGUUGGCUUAGAAGCAGCCAUCAUUUAAAGAGUGCGUAAUAGCUCACUAGUCGAGUGACACUGCGCCGAAAAUGUACCGGGGCUAAACAUAUUACCGAAGCUGUGGAUUGUCCUUUGGACAAUGGUAGGAGAGCGUUCUAAGGGCGUUGAAGCAUGAUCGUAAGGACAUGUGGAGCGCUUAGAAGUGAGAAUGCCGGUGUGAGUAGCGAAAGACGGGUGAGAAUCCCGUCCACCGAUUGACUAAGGUUUCCAGAGGAAGGCUCGUCCGCUCUGGGUUAGUCGGGUCCUAAGCUGAGGCCGACAGGCGUAGGCGAUGGAUAACAGGUUGAUAUUCCUGUACCACCUAUAAUCGUUUUAAUCGAUGGGGGGACGCAGUAGGAUAGGCGAAGCGUGCGAUUGGAUUGCACGUCUAAGCAGUAAGGCUGAGUAUUAGGCAAAUCCGGUACUCAUUAAGGCUGAGCUGUGAUGGGGAGAAGACAUUGUGUCUUCGAGUCGUUGAUUUCACACUGCCGAGAAAAGCCUCUAGAUAGAAAAUAGGUGCCCGUACCGCAAACCGACACAGGUAGUCAAGAUGAGAAUUCUAAGGUGAGCGAGCGAACUCUCGUUAAGGAACUCGGCAAAAUGACCCCGUAACUUCGGGAGAAGGGGUGCUCUUUAGGGUUAACGCCCAGAAGAGCCGCAGUGAAUAGGCCCAAGCGACUGUUUAUCAAAAACACAGGUCUCUGCUAAACCGUAAGGUGAUGUAUAGGGGCUGACGCCUGCCCGGUGCUGGAAGGUUAAGAGGAGUGGUUAGCUUCUGCGAAGCUACGAAUCGAAGCCCCAGUAAACGGCGGCCGUAACUAUAACGGUCCUAAGGUAGCGAAAUUCCUUGUCGGGUAAGUUCCGACCCGCACGAAAGGCGUAACGAUUUGGGCACUGUCUCAACGAGAGACUCGGUGAAAUCAUAGUACCUGUGAAGAUGCAGGUUACCCGCGACAGGACGGAAAGACCCCGUGGAGCUUUACUGUAGCCUGAUAUUGAAAUUCGGCACAGCUUGUACAGGAUAGGUAGGAGCCUUUGAAACGUGAGCGCUAGCUUACGUGGAGGCGCUGGUGGGAUACUACCCUAGCUGUGUUGGCUUUCUAACCCGCACCACUUAUCGUGGUGGGAGACAGUGUCAGGCGGGCAGUUUGACUGGGGCGGUCGCCUCCUAAAAGGUAACGGAGGCGCUCAAAGGUUCCCUCAGAAUGGUUGGAAAUCAUUCAUAGAGUGUAAAGGCAUAAGGGAGCUUGACUGCGAGACCUACAAGUCGAGCAGGGUCGAAAGACGGACUUAGUGAUCCGGUGGUUCCGCAUGGAAGGGCCAUCGCUCAACGGAUAAAAGCUACCCCGGGGAUAACAGGCUUAUCUCCCCCAAGAGUUCACAUCGACGGGGAGGUUUGGCACCUCGAUGUCGGCUCAUCGCAUCCUGGGGCUGUAGUCGGUCCCAAGGGUUGGGCUGUUCGCCCAUUAAAGCGGUACGCGAGCUGGGUUCAGAACGUCGUGAGACAGUUCGGUCCCUAUCCGUCGUGGGCGUAGGAAAUUUGAGAGGAGCUGUCCUUAGUACGAGAGGACCGGGAUGGACAUACCUCUGGUGUACCAGUUGUCGUGCCAACGGCAUAGCUGGGUAGCUAUGUGUGGACGGGAUAAGUGCUGAAAGC